UACGUAGGUGGCAAGCGUUGUCCGGAUUUAUUGGGUUUAAAGGGUGCGUAGGCGGCCUAAUAAGUCAGUGCUGAAAUAUCCCGGCUUAACCGGGAGGGUGGCAUUGAUACUGUUGGACUUGAGUAGAGUUGAGGUUGGCGGAAUUGACGGUGUAGCGGUGAAAUGCUUAGAUAUCGUCAAGAACACCGAUAGUGAAGACAGCUAACUAAGCUCAAACUGACGCUGAGGCACGAAAGUGUGGGGAUCAAACAGG
RNAcentral lists this ribosomal RNA (253 nucleotides) under uncultured bacterium. RNAcentral's name for it is "partial 16S ribosomal RNA". It matches the Rfam family "Bacterial small subunit ribosomal RNA", at positions 524 to 776 of the family's 1533-position model. The record is from RNAcentral.